Molecule: ribosomal RNA, 331 nt
Filed under: uncultured eukaryote
Lineage: Eukaryota
Description: partial 18S ribosomal RNA
Rfam family: Eukaryotic small subunit ribosomal RNA
Source: RNAcentral
CCCUUAGAUGUUCUGGGCCGCACGCGCGCUACACUGUUCGACGCAGCGAGUCUUAACCUUGACCGAAAGGUUUGGGUAAUCUUCAGCAAAGUCGAACGUGAUGGGGAUCGAUCAUUGCAAUUAUUGAUCGUGAACGAGGAAUUCCUAGUAAGUGCAAGUCAUCAGCUUGCGCUGAUUACGUCCCUGCCCUUUGUACACACCGCCCGUCGCUACUACCGGUUGAAUGGUUUAGUGAGAUCUCUGGAUUGACGCUGGCUAGGGGGCGACCCUUGGCCAGGCUGUCGAGAAACUGCUCAAACUUGAUCAUUUAGAGGAAGUAAAAGUCGUAACA